AGGCGAAGGUCGCCGCCAUGUUCGGCAAUAGC
This 32-nucleotide non-coding RNA is filed under the name Geobacter sulfurreducens KN400. The record is from RNAcentral. Lineage: Bacteria; Pseudomonadati; Thermodesulfobacteriota; Desulfuromonadia; Geobacterales; Geobacteraceae.